RNAcentral lists this transfer RNA (76 nucleotides) under Firmicutes bacterium HGW-Firmicutes-16. Its description in RNAcentral is "tRNA-Cys". It matches the Rfam family "tRNA". From Rfam's summary of the family: Transfer RNA (tRNA) molecules are approximately 80 nucleotides in length. Their secondary structure includes four short double-helical elements and three loops (D, anti-codon, and T loops). The record is from RNAcentral. Lineage: Bacteria; Bacillati; Bacillota.
GGCGCCAUAGCCAAGUGGUAAGGCAGUGGACUGCAAAUCCGCGAUUCCCCCAGUUCAAAUCUGGGUGGCGCCUCCA